AUUACCGCGGCUGCUGGCACGUAGUUGGCCGGUGCUUCUUCUGCAGGUACCGUCACUUUCGCUUCGUCCCUGCUGAAAGAGGUUUACAACCCGAAGGCCGUCAUCCCUCACGCGGCGUCGCUGCAUCAGGCUUUCGCCCAUUGUGCAAAAUUCCCCACUGCUGCCUCCCGUAGG
This 174-nucleotide ribosomal RNA is filed under the name uncultured bacterium. RNAcentral describes it as "partial 16S ribosomal RNA". The record is from RNAcentral.